CCAUCGUCCAUCCACACCUCAGUCACACAACUAACCUAAACUAAUGAGAGUGCAGCAGGGUUUGCAAAAAGGAGGGUUGGAGGAAGCUUUUAUGAAAUGGAAUGAGUAUUUUAAAAUGGGGUUUGGAUUCCAAUAUGGCAAACAGUGAACAGAAGUUACAGUGUAGGCACGUGUAGUGAAUGGUGAGCAGUGAACAGAAGUUACAAUGUAGGCACGUGUAGUGAAUGGUGAGCAGUGAACAGAAGUUACAGUGUAGACACGUGUAGUGAAUGGUGAACAGUGAACAGAAGUUACAGUGUAGGCACGUGUACUGAAUGGUGAACAGUGAACAGAAGUUACAGUGGAGGCACGUGUAGUGAAUGGUGAGCAGUGAACAGAAGUUACAAUGUAGGCACGUGUAGUGAAUGGUGAGCAGUGAACAGAAGUUACAAUGUAGGCACGUGUAGUGAAUGGUGAUCAGUGAACAGAAGUUACAGUGUAGGCACGUGUAGUGAAUGGUGAACAGUGAACAGAAGUUACAAUGUAGGCACGUGUAGUGAAUGGUGAACAGUGAACAGAAGUUACAAUGUAGGCACGUGUAGUGAAUGGUGAGCAGUGAACAGAAGUUACAAUGUAGGCACGUGUAGUGAAUGGUGAACAGAAGUUACAAUGUAGGCACGUGUAGUGAAUGGUGAGUAGUGAACAGAAGUUACAGUGUCGGCACGUGUAGCGAAUGGUGAACAGAAGUUACAAUGUAGGCACAUGUAGCGAAUGGUGAACAGAAGUUACAAUAGUGAAACAGUGCCAGUCUCAGUGAUUUAAGCAGGACUUGGACUGCUAGUGAAACGUACAAGGGCAGCUGACUGAACAGCUCCGGCUCUUAGCCAGCAUCUCCACUGUCAAUUAGCCAGGUCUUGGGGGAACCGGU
Gopherus flavomarginatus (Mexican gopher tortoise) is the source of this 907-nucleotide long non-coding RNA. RefSeq lists it as uncharacterized. The transcript has 3 exons. The record is from RefSeq and is a predicted model, not a curated record. Lineage: Eukaryota; Metazoa; Chordata; Testudines; Testudinidae.